GGGGCAUUAAUAUUUAAUUGUCAGAGGUGAAAUUCUUGGAUUUAUGAAAGAUUAACUUCUGCGAAAGCAUCUGCCAAGGAUGUUUUCAAAUCAAGAACGAAAGUUAGGGGAUCGAAGACGAUCAGAUACCGUCGUAGUCUUAACCAUAAACGAUGCCGACCAGCGAUUAGGAGACGUUGAAUACAAAACACCACCAUCGGCGCGGUCGCCCUUGGCGUCGCGUUCACGCGCGGCGCGAGGACG
RNAcentral lists this ribosomal RNA (243 nucleotides) under Acanthamoeba sp. RNAcentral describes it as "partial small subunit ribosomal RNA". It matches the Rfam family "Eukaryotic small subunit ribosomal RNA", at positions 885 to 1076 of the family's 1831-position model. The record is from RNAcentral. Lineage: Eukaryota; Discosea; Longamoebia; Acanthamoebidae.